GAGGGUGUAGUUCAGUGGUAGAGCAUGUGCUUAGCAUGCACGAAGUCCUGGUUUCAAUCCCCAGUACUUCCA
RNAcentral lists this transfer RNA (72 nucleotides) under Camelus bactrianus (Bactrian camel). It matches the Rfam family "tRNA". From Rfam's summary of the family: Transfer RNA (tRNA) molecules are approximately 80 nucleotides in length. Lineage: Eukaryota; Metazoa; Chordata; Mammalia; Artiodactyla; Camelidae. RNAcentral also lists the same sequence under 2 other names. The record is from Rfam by way of RNAcentral.